AUUAACCCGAUGGCGAGUGAUUUUAGAACCAACACUCACAGCCAGGGAAGCAUCCUGUUAUCGGCGUUGAGCAAGCCCACCAAUAGAGUGGGAAGCCUGAACCGAUGCAUUCGCUGCCCACUUGAACCUAAGGGUUCAAAAUCCGGUACCCAUCGGGUUAUAU
Legionella pneumophila subsp. pneumophila is the source of this 163-nucleotide non-coding RNA. It matches the Rfam family "6S / SsrS RNA". From Rfam's summary of the family: E. coli 6S RNA was the first non coding RNA to be sequenced, but its function was unknown until recently. It consists of 184 nucleotides that fold into an extended hairpin structure with a large single-stranded internal bulge. The 6S RNA specifically associates with RNA polymerase holoenzyme containing the sigma70 specificity factor. The record is from Rfam. Lineage: Bacteria; Pseudomonadati; Pseudomonadota; Gammaproteobacteria; Legionellales; Legionellaceae.